GGGGACAGGUUGUGGGUGAGUGGUAAAGCCUCGGCUGCGCAUGCAAAAGGCCUCAGGUUCAAUUCCUGGUGUCUCCA
This 77-nucleotide transfer RNA is filed under the name Sphaerodactylus townsendi. RNAcentral's name for it is "tRNA-Ala". The record is from RNAcentral. Lineage: Eukaryota; Metazoa; Chordata; Lepidosauria; Squamata; Sphaerodactylidae.